This 339-nucleotide unclassified non-coding RNA is filed under the name Hevea brasiliensis (rubber tree). Lineage: Eukaryota; Viridiplantae; Streptophyta; Magnoliopsida; Malpighiales; Euphorbiaceae. The record is from RNAcentral.
GGGAAACCCACGAAUCCCACAAAGAAAGGAACUCCCUAACCCACGUCUUCUUCCUCUCUCUUUAUUUUCCACAUUUCAUUUCAAAACUCAAUGUUUCUCUUCUUCUUCAUUUCUGGAGGCCACUGCACUUCACGUAAGGCAAAUGACUCAUCAAGAAAACCCUGAUACUCGUAGGGCUCUCAUUGAUUCAAACUCAAACUCCUACUUCUCUAGUAUCACCAUUUCCCAAACCAAGAUUAGAAUCAAGAUUCCAAAACUCUUGGCCAAGACCAUGCAAAAAAGAGGUAACGAUCGUACCAGAGGCAAGAAAAACAAGUGGGAGAAGGUUAGCUCCAUCUU